UGGGGAAUUUUGGACAAUGGGCGAAAAGCCCUGAUCCAGCAAUGCCGCGUGUGUGAAGAAGGCCUUCGGGUUGUAAAGCACUUUUGUCCGGAAAGAAAUCCUUGGCUCUAAUACAGUCGGGGGGAUGACGGUACCGGAAGAAUAAGCACCGGCUAACUACGUGCCAGCAGCCGCGGUAAUACGUAGGGUGCAAGCGUUAAUCGGAAUUACUGGGCGUAAAGCGUGCGCAGGCGGUUUGCUAAGACCGAUGUGAAAUCCCCGGGCUCAACCUGGGAACUGCAUUGGUGACUGGCAGGCUAGAGUAUGGCAGAGGGGGGUAGAAUUCCACGUGUAGCAGUGAAAGUGCGUAGAGAUGUGGAGGAAUACCGAUGGCGAAGGCAGCCCCCUGGGCCAAUACUGACGCUCAUGCACGAAAGCGUGGGGAGCAAACAGGAUUAGAUACCCUGGUAGUCCACGCCCUAAACGAUGUCAACUAGUUGUUGGGGAUUCAUUUCCUUAGUAACGUAGCUAACGCGUGAAGUUGACCGCCUGGGGAGUACGGUCGCAAGAUUAAAACU
RNAcentral lists this ribosomal RNA (557 nucleotides) under uncultured bacterium. Its description in RNAcentral is "partial 16S ribosomal RNA". It matches the Rfam family "Bacterial small subunit ribosomal RNA", at positions 355 to 901 of the family's 1533-position model. The record is from RNAcentral.